This 334-nucleotide unclassified non-coding RNA is filed under the name soil metagenome. RNAcentral describes it as "partial contains 5.8S ribosomal RNA, internal transcribed spacer 2, and large subunit ribosomal RNA". The stretch from base 1 to 120 matches the Rfam family "5.8S ribosomal RNA", at positions 35 to 154 of the family's 154-position model. The record is from RNAcentral.
GAUGAAGAACGUAGCGAAAUGCGAUAAGUAAUGUGAAUUGCAGAAUUCAGUGAAUCAUCGAAUCUUUGAACGCACAUUGCGCCCGCCAGUAUUCUGGCGGGCAUGCCUGUUCGAGCGUCAUUUCAACCAUCAAGCCCCCGGGCUUGUGUUGGGGACCUGCGGCUGCCGCAGGCCCUGAAAACCAGUGGCGGGCUCGCUAGUCACUCCGAGCGUAGUAGUUACAUCUCGCUCAGGGCGUGCUGCGGGUUCCGGCCGUUAAAAGCCUUUUACCCCAAGGUUGACCUCGGAUCAGGUAGGAAGACCCGCUGAACUUAAGCAUAUCAAAAGCGGAGGA